UUGGAGGGCAAGUCUGGUGCCAGCAGCCGCGGUAAUUCCAGCUCCAAUAGCGUAUAUUAAAGUUGUUGCAGUUAAAAAGCUCGUAGUUGAACUUCGGGACCUGUGGGUUGGUCGUGCCUCCGGUACGUACUGGCUCUACCGGUUCCUCCCUUCUGAAGAACCACGAUGUCAUUAAUUUGGUGUCGUGGGGAAUCAGGACUGUUACUUUGAAAAAAUUAGAGUGUUUAAAGCAGGCUAAAGCUUGAAUAGAUUAGCAUGGAAUAACGAAAUAGGACGUUUGAUCUUAUUUUGUUGGUUUCUAAGAUCGACGUAAUGAUUAAUAGGGAUAGUUGGGGGCAUUAGUAUUCAAUUGUCAGAGGUGAAAUUCUUGGAUUUAUUGAAGACUAACUACUGCGAAAGCAUUUGCCGAGGAUGUUUUCAUUAAUCAAGAACGAAAGUUAGGGGAUCGAAGACGAUCAGAUACCGUCGUAGUCUUAACCAUAAACUAUGCCGACUAGGGAUCGGAUGAUGUUAAUUUUUUAAUGACUCAUUCGGCGCCUUACGGGAAAC
RNAcentral lists this ribosomal RNA (549 nucleotides) under Glomus sp. C/3-10. RNAcentral describes it as "SSU rRNA". It matches the Rfam family "Eukaryotic small subunit ribosomal RNA", at positions 548 to 1098 of the family's 1831-position model. Lineage: Eukaryota; Fungi; Glomeromycota; Glomeromycetes; Glomerales; Glomeraceae. The record is from RNAcentral.